Molecule: long non-coding RNA, 304 nt
Filed under: Lathyrus oleraceus (garden pea)
Lineage: Eukaryota; Viridiplantae; Streptophyta; Magnoliopsida; Fabales; Fabaceae
Description: Pisum sativum (pea) long non-coding RNA (PSAT_LNC016890)
Source: RNAcentral
UGCUUUACCCGGUUGACCCACUGUCUUCCGGUGAUAAUUUUUUUUCUUUUUCUCAAAUCGUGUCAUCACUCCGGUUUGCCUCUAACUUCUCCGGUUUGCCUUUAACUUCUCAAAAUUCUCAGGUACAACCACCUUGCCGCCCGAUCCGGCCGUUUUUCCCAACCGCCCCACACGGCUCCCUCCAUCGCUCACAGGUCUGGUCUCCACAGCCCCGAUUUUGUUUCUUUAAGUCAUGGGAGAUGUUGAUUCCAUCUCGUUUACUAAAGUUCUGCUUAUCCCAUGUGAAAAACUAACUGGAUCAGCC